GACGAACGCUGGCGGCGUGCCUAAUACAUGCAAGUAGAACGCACAGUUUAUACCGUAGCUUGCUACACCAUAGACUGUGAGUUGCGAACGGGUGAGUAACGCGUAGAUAACCUGCCUGGUAGCGGGGGAUAACUAUUGGAAACGAUAGCUAAUACCGCAUAAUAUUAAUUAUUGCAUGAUAAUUAAUUGAAAGGUGCAAUUGCACCACUACCAGAUGGACCUGCGUUGUAUUAGCUAGUAGGUGAGGUAACGGCUCACCUAGGCGACGAUACAUAGCCGAACUGGCAGGGGUAUCAGCCACAAUAGACAUGAGACACGGACCAGACUCCUACGGGAGGCCGCAGUAGGGAAUCUUCGGCAAUGGACGAAAGUCUGACCGAGCAACGCCGCGUGAGUGAAGAAGGUUUUCGGAUCGUAAAGAUCUGUUGUAAGAGAAGAACGGGUGUGAGAGUGGAAAGUUCACACUGUGACGGUAGCUUACCAGAAAGGGACGGCUAACUACGUG
This 505-nucleotide ribosomal RNA is filed under the name uncultured bacterium. RNAcentral's name for it is "partial 16S ribosomal RNA". It matches the Rfam family "Bacterial small subunit ribosomal RNA", at positions 28 to 507 of the family's 1533-position model. The record is from RNAcentral.